This 497-nucleotide ribosomal RNA is filed under the name uncultured bacterium. RNAcentral describes it as "partial 16S ribosomal RNA". It matches the Rfam family "Bacterial small subunit ribosomal RNA", at positions 28 to 507 of the family's 1533-position model. The record is from RNAcentral.
GAUGAACGCUGGCGGCGUGCCUAAUACAUGCAAGUCGAGCGAACAGACGAUGAUCUUUCUCCUCUUACGUUAUCGGCUGACGUGUGUUUAACACGUGUAUAACCUACCUAUAUUACUUGUAUAACUUCGGGAAACCGGAUCUAAUACCGGAUAAUAUAUUGAACCGCAUGGUUCAAUAGUUAUUUACGGUUUUUCUGUCUCUUAUAGAUGGUUCCGCGCCGCAUUAGCUAGUUGGUAAGGUAACGGCUUACCAAGGCAACGAUGCGUAACCGACCUGAGAGGGAGAUCGGCGAGACGGGAACGGAGACACGGAACAGACUACUACGGGAGGGAGCAGUAGGGAAUAUUCGGAAAUGGGCGAAAGCAUGACGGAGAAAAGGCGCGUGAGAGAAGAAGGUCUUAGGAUCGUAAAACUCUGUUAUGAGGGAAGAAAAAAAGUGUAAGAAAAAAAGAACGAAGUGACGGUAACGAAAAAGAAAGAAACGGCUAACGACGUG